AUUGAACGCUGGCGGCAUGCUUUACACGUGCAAGUCGAACGGCAGCGCGGGCUUCGGCCUGGCGGCGAGUGGCGAACGGGUGAGUAAUACAUCGGAACGUGCCCAGUAGUGGGGGAUAGCUCGGCGAAAGCCGGAUUAAUACCGCAUACGACCUGAGGGUGAAAGCGGGGGAUCUUCGGACCUCGCGCUAUUGGAGCGGCCGAUGGCAGAUUAGCUAGUUGGUGGGGUAAAGGCCUACCAAGGCGACGAUCUGUAGCUGGUCUGAGAGGACGACCAGCCACACUGGGACUGAGACACGGCCCAGACUCCUACGGGAGGCAGCAGUGGGGAAUUUUGGACAAUGGGCGAAAGCCUGAUCCAGCAAUGCCGCGUGUGUGAUGAAGGCCCUCGGGUUGUAAAGCACUUUUGGCGGGAACGAAAAGGACUGUGCCAAUACCACGGUUCGAUGACGGUACCCGCAGAAUAAGCACCGGCUAACUACGU
RNAcentral lists this ribosomal RNA (483 nucleotides) under uncultured bacterium. Its description in RNAcentral is "partial 16S ribosomal RNA". It matches the Rfam family "Bacterial small subunit ribosomal RNA", at positions 29 to 506 of the family's 1533-position model. The record is from RNAcentral.